UACAAAGAGUGCUAGCGUUGUUCGGAAUUACUGAGCGUAAAGAGCGCGUAGGCGAUUUCGCAAGUCAAGGGUGAAAUCCCGGAGCUUAACUCCGGAAUUGCUUUUGAUACUGUGAGGCUAGAGUGAGUUAGAGGAUGGCGGAAUUCCUAGUGUAGUGGUGAAAUACGUAGAUAUUAGGAAGAACACCGGUGGCGAAGGCGGCCAUCUAGAACUCAACUGACGCUGAGGCGCGAAAGCGUGGGGAGCAAACAGG
RNAcentral lists this ribosomal RNA (253 nucleotides) under uncultured bacterium. RNAcentral's name for it is "partial 16S ribosomal RNA". It matches the Rfam family "Bacterial small subunit ribosomal RNA", at positions 524 to 776 of the family's 1533-position model. The record is from RNAcentral.